This 500-nucleotide ribosomal RNA is filed under the name uncultured bacterium. RNAcentral describes it as "bacterial SSU rRNA". It matches the Rfam family "Bacterial small subunit ribosomal RNA", at positions 28 to 509 of the family's 1533-position model. The record is from RNAcentral.
GAUGAACGCUGGCGGCGUGCCUAAUACAUGCAAGUCGAGCGAAUGGAUUAAGAGCUUGCUCUUAUGAAGUUAGCGGCGGACGGGUGAGUAACACGUGGGUAACCUGCCCAUAAGACUGGGAUAACUCCGGGAAACCGGGGCUAAUACCGGAUAACAUUUUGAACUGCAUGGUUCGAAAUUGAAAGGCGGCUUCGGCUGUCACUUAUGGAUGGACCCGCGUCGCAUUAGCUAGUUGGUGAGGUAACGGCUCACCAAGGCAACGAUGCGUAGCCGACCUGAGAGGGUGAUCGGCCACACUGGGACUGAGACACGGCCCAGACUCCUACGGGAGGCAGCAGUAGGGAAUAUUGGACAAUGGGGGCAACCCUGAUCCAGCCAUGCCGCGUGAGUGAAGAAGGCCCUCGGGUUGUAAAGCUCUUUUGUCAGGGAAGAAAAGGUCGUGGCUAAUAUCCACGGCUCAUGACGGUACCUGAAGAAUAAGCACCGGCUAACUACGUGCC